UAGUCCACGCCCUAAACGAUGCUAACUCGAUAUUUGUCGUAAGAUGAGUGUCUAAGCGAAAGCGAUAAGUUAGCCACCUGGGGAGUACGUUCGCAAGAAUGAAACUCAAAGGAAUUGACGGGGGCCCGCACAAGCGGUGGAGCAUGUGGUUUAAUUCGAUGAUACGCGAGGAACCUUACCAGGGCUUAAAUGUAGAGUGACAGGUCUAGAGAUAGACUUUUCUUCGGACACUUUACAAGGUGCUGCAUGGUUGUCGUCAGCUCGUGCCGUGAGGUGUUAGGUUAAGUCCUGCAACGAGCGCAACCCCUAUCAUUAGUUGCUAACAGGUUAAGCUGAGGACUCUAAUGAGACUGCCGGUGCAAACCGAGAGGAAGGUGGGGAUGACGUCAAAUCAUCACGGCCCUUACGUCCUGGGCUACACACGUGCUACAAUGGCAGGUACAGAGGGCAGCUACCCCGCAGGGGAUGCGAAUCUUCAAAGCCUGUCUCAGUUCGGAUCGC
RNAcentral lists this ribosomal RNA (501 nucleotides) under uncultured bacterium. Its description in RNAcentral is "bacterial SSU rRNA". It matches the Rfam family "Bacterial small subunit ribosomal RNA", at positions 791 to 1301 of the family's 1533-position model. The record is from RNAcentral.